This 494-nucleotide ribosomal RNA is filed under the name uncultured bacterium. RNAcentral describes it as "partial 16S ribosomal RNA". It matches the Rfam family "Bacterial small subunit ribosomal RNA", at positions 899 to 1397 of the family's 1533-position model. The record is from RNAcentral.
ACUCAAAUGAAUAGACGGGGGCCCGCACAAGCAGCGGAGCAUGUGGUUUAAUUCGAAGCAACGCGAAGAACCUUACCUAGACUUGACAUCUCCUGAAUUACUCGUAAUGGAGGAAGCCCUUCGGGGCAGGAAGACAGGUGGUGCAUGGUUGUCGUCAGCUCGUGUCGUGAGAUGUUGGGUUAAGUCCCGCAACGAGCGCAACCCUUAUCAUUAGUUGCUACCAUUAAGUUGAGCACUCUAGUGAGACUGCCCGGGUUAACCGGGAGGAAGGUGGGGAUGACGUCAAAUCAUCAUGCCCCUUAUGUCUAGGGCUACACACGUGCUACAAUGGGUGGUACAGAGAGACGCAAAGCCGCGAGGUGGAGCAAAACUCUAAAACCACUCCCAGUUCGGAUUGAAGGCUGAAACUCGCCUUCAUGAAGCCGGAGUUGCUAGUAAUCGCGAAUCAGCAUGUCGCGGUGAAUACGUUCCCGGGCCUUGUACACACCGCCCGU